UUGCUCUAAGCUCAUAAGCAGGAGAAAAGUAAUUAUGCAGAGCAAGCGGUUAAAUUAUGAAAAGGAUUGGACAUUCUGAGAAGGCUGAGACGUGGCUGCUCCUGUGUUUUCUCCCUGGGGUGCACUGCUCUACAAAGGUGAGCAGGCUGUGCAGGUCUUCGAGCUGAGGCAAGAAUGCCCACCUUGACUUCUGUUCUGCAGUGUUAGAGCUGUGCAGGCUGCCCCUGUGUUCUGGUAUUUUUAAGGGCCAACCAAAGGUGGCCUUGUCCCCACAUGAUCUACCCCACUUGCCCACUGCUUGGGCCUGAAUUUCCACCAUAGGGAUAGAUUCCUUCAUGUUUGAGGUGCUGUUCCAGGUUGAAAGGUAACUUGUACCACAGUUCAGAGAGCAGUCACUGAUAGGUUAUCUCAUCUGAUGAUCACAGCUUCUCAAUUAUUGUCAUUAAAACCCUUUGACAGAUAAGGAGAUUAAAGUUCACAGAGGUGAAGCCACUGGGCUCCCAAGGUCAUCACUGGGUGCCAGAACUAGGAACAGAGCCCAUAUCUCCUGGUAACCAGGUGAAUUCUCUUUCCAGCUUACCUGUCAUUCAUUGCCUGCUGUGUUUUUCAUGCAUAUGUGACUCAUGCUUCCACCUAGAUCACAUGUUUCUUGAGGUCAGAGCCCUUUCUGUGAUCUGCUUUACCUGUUUGACUUGCCUUGGUACAGAGAAUGGAGCUGCAAGACUCCCCUGGUCAGAUCACGUCGGGUCUCCUGAAGACACCAGGAGGAUUCUACUGUGCACAGGUUGAUUCAGUGUGUUUCCCAGUAAAGAAAAUAGGAUGCGGCCGUGCGCAGUGACUUACACCUGUAAUCCCAGCACUUUGGGAGGCCGAGGCGGGUGGAUCACCUGAGCUUCACGGAGCUACCUGAGUCAGCGCCUGCAUCUCCACCACCAUCAUCAUCGUCACUGUCUUCAUCGCCUCUGGGCUGGACCAGCCCCUGCCUGUGAGCUCCCUGGAGCCAGAGGUGCAAAGUCUGCAAUGACACAAAAAGCCAGCACGCUGGGAGGGGCUCUGGAGACCAUCUCAUUGUUCAUUCAUUUGUCUAUUCAAUCCAUUUUAUUGACUGCUCACUGUGUGCCAGACACAUGGGCCCUGGAGAUACAGAAGAAACACGUGAGGUCCCUGCCCUCCAGGAAUUAAGAAGAUAAAGUCAAAAGUGCUGUAAAGAACAACAGGAUGAUGGGCCAGUAUUUGAAGAGGUCGUUUUCAGAUGGGGUGGGCAGGGAAGGCAUGUCUGAGAAAGGAAUCUUUGUGGACACCUUAAUGCUUAGGACAUGGGGCUGAGAAAAGCAGGCAGAGGAAUUUCAGAUAACGCCUCAGUUGGUAAAAAGCUAGGGGGAUGGUGCAGGCAAGGAAUAGAAGGAAGGACAGUGUGGUGGGAGUUUGGUGGUGAGUGAAAGAGGGGCCUGGGGACCGUGCACACUUGAAGGCUGUAGCCGGGCAUCUGGCUUGGAUUUUGAGGACUGAGGGGACCAUUACAGGGCUUUAGGCAUGGGGAUGGCACGAUCCAAUUUACAUUUUUCAUGUCAUUCCAUCUGCUUCCUGGAGAACACAUGAUAGGAAGAAGGAACGUGGAAGCAGGGAGACCAGUGAGGUGGUAACUCCAGAAACAAAGAGGUGGCGGCUGAUGGGGCGAGUGGGAGGAGCCUGACCCUGGUGGAUUUUGGAGGCACAGAAGGCAAACCUGCUGGGGGAUUGUCUGUGGGGGACAGGGAGAGCAAAGACUGGGUGCCUUCCUCUUCCUGCCUUCCUCUUCCCGCUUUGCACCCCUUCUGGCCUGAAUCAUCUCCCUCAGGUAACUAAGAGGAGGGGGCAAAGGACUCCAGACUAUGUAGCCAGAUAUAGCCCCAGGUCCCCAGGGCUAUAUCUUGGGUCUGUGCAGAAACUAGGGACGUGGGGGCCAGAGGUAUUUUUAGCCUUCUAGCUCUCUCCUUCUGUCUUCUGCAAUCCCUCUCCCUACCCCCUUCCCCCUUCUUCUCUCCUUCUCCCUUCCCUCUCCAGCUCCUUCCCCCACCUCCUGCUCCUCUUUCUCUCUCUCUCACACACACAUACACACACACACACACAUACACACACACACACACACACACACACACACACGAAGCAGCCUUAUCAGGAGGAAGCCUCCAGCAGAGACAAGCGGUCUCCAGGGACAGAGCAGAGGAGCUGACAGGAGUUUCCGGAGCAGGGGGAGGCUGACUUCCCUGCCUUCCCCAUUCCUUCCAGCUCCCACUGCCUCUCGCUUCCUGCAGCAUUUCUCUCCAGACGCGCGCUUCUCAACUGGAGGCCACUUUGUCUUCCUGGGACAUUUGGCAAUAUCUGGAAACAUUGUUGGUUGUCAUAACUGAGGAGGGGGCAGGGUUGGCAUGGAGUGGGUAGAGACCAGAGAUGCACAGGACAGCCCCCAUAACAAAGAAUGAUCGGCGCCAACAGUGCUGAGAGCCCUCCCUAGGCUCUGCCGGCAGAGCUGGAAGGGACUGUCCUCUUCCUUGUGGUCCCACUAUCACCACACUGGCCACACUGUCCCUGCAUUAUCUCUAUUGGUCUUCUCAGCCACACUGUGAGGUACAUAGUAUUAUUCACCCAAGGUCAUGCAGGCAGUAAGAGGCAGAGCUGGGAUUAAGACUGUGAAGCCUGUGGUUUAACUGGUCUCUCUCUACUGAAGGGGUUGUCACAGCCUGUGUCAUUGUUAUUAGCAAUGGGACACGCUGUCUCAAGUGAAGUCUUAUUCAGAAGUCCAAUGUAAGUCCACUGUGUAAGACAGAGAGCGUAGAACUGCCUAGGGUGAAGCAGUGUGGGAGGUUAUGAACCCCCUGGGCCCACCCCUCUUCCCACCUUAUGGAGCCUCCAAAAGCCAUCUGUCUAGCCGGGCAGGGCCCCUGUGGAGGGCUGCACAGGUUGUGCACUGCAAAACUCUAGGAGAGGCCACUCCCAUGGGCUUCUUCGUGGGGCCUGUUGAGGUAAGGCAGAGCUCCUUUAGGGAAGGGUGGCAAAUGGGAUUUCUCCCAUUGCAGACAUGUGUUGCUUAGCAGACAAGGUGUCACGGUAGCCUAAUAAGGUCUGGAGUAGGAAAGCGGGAUGAGAGUGGCUGAGUGGCCAGCAUCUGCCUUCCUGGUCCUAAAAUAUGGAGAAUAGAAAAUAGAAUUGGAGGCCAGGCGCGGUGGCUCACGCCUGUAAUCCCAGCACUUUGGGAGGUCGAGGUGGGCAGAUCACCAGGUCAGGAGAUCAAGACCAUCCUGGCUAACACGGUGAAACCCCGUCUGUACUAAAAAUACAAAACAAUUAGCCGGGCGUGGCGGCAUGUGCCUGUUGUCCCAGCUACUCAGGAGGCUGAGGCAGGAGAAUGGCGUGAACCCGGGAGGCAGAGCUGGCAGUGAGCCGAGAUCGUGCCACUGCACUCCAGCCUGGGUAACAGAGCAAGACUCCAUCUCAAAAAACAAAAAGAAAAGAAAAUGGAAUUGGACUAGGAGAUAUCUUGACACUCCCCACCCUUGCAACUUAGCAGCGACUCAACAAUGAAGCUGCCAACCCUCGUUCCAAAACCUUACAAGACCUGAGGCUCGUAUAUACACUAGUCCCCCAGGAAAGCCUUCCCUAACCCUAGAGCCUCUCUCCCCAGAGCCCCAUCAGGUUUCCUUUUUGGGGCCUCCUGUUGUUCAUCUUUAUCUAAACCUGGAUUCAUGUUUGGGCAGAGAAGCUGUAGUUGAGGUUGUCACCGCCUUCUCAACCCUCCUGGGGAAGGCUUGGGCUAGACCUGGCAGAAGGGGUUGGAUAGGGGAUGUCCCUCUCCAGGUCUCCCCGUGGAGUGAGACCCUUUCCCCUUGAGUGCCAUGGUGGCUCCCCAGGCAUCAUCAAGCCACCUGGCAUCUUGGUGCUUUGACAUGAGAUCCAGUAGACACCCUGUAAAGGAGGACUGUGGGCACUGCCUGCUCUCUCGGCAUGGGCUUCUCCAGCUGCCCUGCACUUGGGCAUCUUACAGCCUGGAAUAAAUCCUCCUGGCCCAUGUCCCCUCUGCCUGGACCCAGCUACAGAGUGAUACUGCUGAUGCCAGAACUGACUCUUCUGUUCCAACAGGGAGUGGUGCCCUCGGGUCCCAAGAGGGCUGCAGACUGCAGGCCUCCCUGAAGUGAAGAUGCAGCAAAGUGGAAGACAGCACACGGAAACCAUGCAGCAGCUCCCUCUGGGGAAGAGAAAGAGGGAGCCACGUUGCUCUAUACCCUGUGGACUUCUUGCAAUAUGAACCUUCAUGGACCUAAGAAAAAUAAUAAUAAAGGAAAAAAUAGCCAGGUGGGCUGGUUCACACCUGGGAUCCCAGCACUUUAGGAG
RNAcentral lists this long non-coding RNA (4368 nucleotides) under Homo sapiens (human). RNAcentral describes it as "HSALNT0330563". Lineage: Eukaryota; Metazoa; Chordata; Mammalia; Primates; Hominidae. The record is from RNAcentral.